This 773-nucleotide ribosomal RNA is filed under the name uncultured bacterium. RNAcentral describes it as "bacterial SSU rRNA". It matches the Rfam family "Bacterial small subunit ribosomal RNA", at positions 694 to 1466 of the family's 1533-position model. The record is from RNAcentral.
AUAUCAGGAGGAACACCGGUGGCGAAGGCGGUUCUCUGGGAAUAUCCUGACGCUGAGGAGCGAAAGUGUGAGGAGCGAACAGGAUUAGAUACCCUGGUAGUCCACGCCGUAAACGUUGGGCGCUAGGUGUGGGGUCCAUCCCACGGAUUCCGUGCCGCAGCUAACGCAUUAAGCGCCCCGCCUGGGAAGUACGGCCGCAAGGCUAAAACUCAAAGGAAUUGACGGGGGCCCGCACAAGCGGCGGAGCAUGCGGAUUAAUUCGAUGCAACGCGAAGAACCUUACCUGGGUUUGACAUACACCGGAAAGCUGCAGAGAUGUGGCCCCUUUUUGUCGGUGUACAGGUGGUGCAUGGCUGUCGUCGGCUCGUGUCGUGAGAUGUUGGGUUAAGUCCCGCAACGAGCGCAACCCUCGUCCUACGUUGCCAGCACGUCAUGGUGGGGACUCAUAGGAGACUGCCGGGGUCAACUCGGAGGAAGGUGGGGAUGACGUCAAGUCAUCAUGCCCCUUAUGUCCAGGGCUUCACGCAUGCUACAAUGGCCGGUACAAAGGGCUGCGAUCCCGUGAGGGGGAGCGAAUCCCAAAAAGCCGGUCUCAGUUCGGAUUGGGGUCUGCAACUCGACCCCAUGAAGUCGGAGUCGCUAGUAAUCGCAGAUCAGCAACGCUGCGGUGAAUACGUUCCCGGGCCUUGUACACACCGCCCGUCACGUCACGAAAGUCGGCAACACCCGAAGCCGGUGGCUCAACCCUUGUGGAGGGAGCCGUCGAAGGGGGG